This is a long non-coding RNA of Felis catus (domestic cat), 2696 nucleotides long. RefSeq lists it as uncharacterized. The transcript has 3 exons. NCBI's taxonomy places the organism in Eukaryota, Metazoa, Chordata, Mammalia, Carnivora, Felidae. The record is from RefSeq and is a predicted model, not a curated record.
GGCCUCCCCCUGGUGCCUAGUAAGUACAGUCUUCCUCUCAGCAUUCGCCUCUUCUCCAUGGCUCCCUUAUGAAAUGUGAGGCUAGCUGCAGAGUUGGAAGGACAAAGGAACUGACUUCCUCAGACCUUUUAAAGUAAGGGUCUGUCCUCAGAGGCUGCACUUAUACUUUUGGCCACAAGGUGUAAUGAAAACACACAACAGCAACAACAACCUAAGGACUCCAGAGGAAGUCAAGCAAAUCAAAACACGGAGACAAGUGGAGCUGGUCAACAGUUGCCAACAGUUGCUCAAGUGUGAAGAGGAACAUGGAGGAGACAGAGAAGAGGAGGAGGGAGUGUGACCACAAGGCAGAGAUUGGAGUGAUGCAGUCACGAGUCAAGAAAUGCUGGUGAGCCGCGGAGCCUGGAAGAAUCCUUAGAGCCUCCAGGAGUGGGGCCUGCCACUAUCUUGAUUUCAGACUUAGAGAUUUCAGCACUGUGAGAGAACACGUCUCUGUUGUAAGCUACUGGGUUUGUGGCACAUCAUUAUGGCAGCCCUGGGAAACUGACUCAGAGCCAGUCUUAGUUCCACUCCUUAAUUCCUGUCCCCAUGUCUGUGGAAAGUGGGGAAGGCAGCACAUACAAUGGUCUCUGAUUUGAAGUGUAUAUCAGACUGUGUAAAACAGAACCCCAUCAUUUCAGGGUUGUCUCUCAGCGGGUGCUGUAAUGGAGUCUUCAGUAAGCCAGAUACCUCUCAAGUAUACCAGCUGGUUCCAGAGGAUGGAAGUAUGCAAUAAAAGCAGCAAUUUCGUGGGAAGAGUCCAUUUCUGCUUUUUUUGUUUUGUUUGUGUUUUGUUUUUUGCUGUGAGAUGACGCUGUUUCUCAGACAUCAUACUACACAGGAUGGCAUGAUGGUGGUAGGUGGGACAUUCUAUAAGCCCAUGGUUGGUGAUGGUGGGAGAAGCACUAAGGGCUAGAAAACAAAUCCAUAUCCAGAACAUAUGUCUAUUCCAGUGAAGGUGAAUCUCUGCCCUUUUAAAGAGAGAAGUUCAGUGGAAGAAAUCAAGAAGUAGGUGUGUCUACUUCUGUCUUAUGAAGAAGCUAGUCAGCAGUCUCAGCCAGUGUGGCUAGGGGGCUCCAGAUUGGACCCCCUUCUUUUAUGUGGUAUUGCUAUGAUGUUUGCUUCUUGUCUUAGGGUCCCUAUAAUAGUUUCCUAUUGAUGCUGUAACAAUUAAUACACGCUUAUUGACUUAAAAAGACAAAUUUAUUAUUGUACAUUUCUGUAAGAAGUUAAAAAUGAAAUCCACUGGGCUAAAAAUGAGAUCCAUGGUUUCAACCUCUCUCCACCUUAUUUCUUACUACUUUCUUUCACAUACCCUUUGUCUCAAUACACGGUUAUCCAGUUCUGGCCCCUUUAUAAUUUGUCACACUGUGCUCUCUUUUGAAGACCAUCCAUCCCUUGUGCCCACAUUCCAUGUAUCCCAAUCCUUCAUCCAUCUAAAUGCCCAAUUUGAAUGUCACAACCACCAACCCCCAGUUGAAAGGAAUCUUUCACUCCUCCCAGCUGCCAUUAAAAUCCUCUCUAGGCCCCUGACAUUACAUUUCUUGAGGGCAGGAACUAGACAUUGUUUGUAUCUUCAUGUCCCCCAAAGCAGGAUUGACAUGGAUAGUUGUGCAGAUUGUAUGUUGUGACCCUUUUACAUGGGAGGCACUUUAUCAAUAACUCCUAAUAAAUGAAUGACUGAGAGUUCUUUGAUGUUGGCAUUAUGUUCAGUUUCUAAUGUAAUGAACUCAGAUCUUAAGAUGCUGAAAAGUUGGAAGUCAGAACUUCCGGAGAAAUAGAAAGAAAGACAACACUAAAUAAGAUGUAAAUCCUUCACCAGAUGAUGAAGGGUCUUGACUCCCUUUUAAAAGAGAUCUGAUGAGAGCACACCUCCAUCCUUCACACACACACACACACACACACACACACACACACACCACAGUUUCUUUCUAACCUUGACUGCCGGGACCACUGUGUAGGGUCAUGAUAGUCAUGCACUUUUUUUUGUGUCUGUGACAGGCCUGAGCUUGGCCGCUUGGUUAUGCCUUUCCCUACUCCACCCCAUUCCCCACACCCCUGCCAGGAUCCCUUUACGUGAAUACAACUUACCAUUCAGUUCCUGUAGCCAAUACCAGGAAAACUGCUACUAGAAAUGACAUCCAAUGCCAACAACGUGAUUUCUUUUCAUGGGAACCUACCUGGCUUUGUGAAGAAAGAAUUAGAAUAUAUCUUAAUAACAAUAAUGCUUCAUUGCCAAGAAAUCGGAUUCUCAAUAGAUGGACUGUUUUUGAGCUGGACAGCUGCCUUGAAACACAGCUUGCUUAUUCAACAGAACUUUGUCCCUGGAUAGGUAUCACACUCAGCAGACGGGGACAACCUAGGUAGAUAACAAGCCAGUGCUUUCCAAAUGAAACCAGGUCCCCACCACUCUUGUUACCACUUAUGUAGCCAACUGAGAUGAGUAAACAAACCAAGACGUCCUGACAGGUAUGGGUGUCAAUUCAUAUCCAGAUGGCCUGAGCAGUUCCCCCACCUCACUGCUCUCUUACUGACCUGAGUGCCAGAAUUCAGAACACACCUACCCAGGCAGCCAGAACCCAGGAUGAGAGGCAAUAUUGCUUAGCAUCGCAGAUUAGCGGUGUUGCAGGUUACGGACUUGGGUUUGAAUUCUGAUC